CCUACGGGAGGCAGCAGUGGGGAAUAUUGCACAAUGGGCGAAACCCUGAUGCAGCAACGCCGCGUGAGCGAAGAAGUACUUCGGUACGUAAAGCUCUAUCAGCAGGGAAGAAAAUGACGGUACCUGAGUAGGAAGCCCCGGCUAACUACGUGCCAGCAGCCGCGGUAAUACGUAGGGGGCUAGCGUUAUCCGGAUUUACUGGGCGGAAAGGGUGCGUAGGUGGGUUCGUAAGUCAGAAGUGAAAAGCCGAGGCUUAACCCGGAGACAGCUUUUGAAACUGGGCAGCUUGAGUGCAGGAGAGGAGAGUGGAAUUCCUAGUGUAGCGGUGAAAUGCGUAGAUAUUAGGAGGAACACCAGUGGCGAAGGCGGCUUUCUGGACUGUAACUGACGUUGAGGCACGAAAGCGUGGGGAGCAAACAGGAUUAGAUACCCUUGUAGUC
Molecule: ribosomal RNA, 440 nt
Filed under: uncultured bacterium
Lineage: Bacteria
Description: partial 16S ribosomal RNA
Rfam family: Bacterial small subunit ribosomal RNA
Source: RNAcentral